UCAGGACGAACGCUGGCGGCAUGCCUAACACAUGCAAGUCGAACGGAGUAAUGACUUCGGUUAUUACUUAGUGGCGAACGGGUGAGUAACACGUGAAUAAUCUGCCCUGUACGAUGGGAUAACAGCUGGAAACGGCUGCUAAUACCGUAUAUGACCACGCCGAGGCAUCUCGGAGGGGUGAAAGCGCUUAAGCGGUACAGGAUGAGUUCGCGUCCAAUUAGCUAGUUGGUGAGGUAACGGCCCACCAAGGCGACGAUUGGUAGCCGACCUGAGAGGGUGAUCGGCCACACUGGAACUGAGACACGGUCCAGACUCCUACGGGAGGCAGCAGUGGGGAAUAUUGGGCAAUGGAGGAAACUCUUACCCAAGCAAUGCCGCGUGAGUGAUGAAGGUCUUCGGAUUGUAAAGCUCUUUGAUUGGGGACGAAUAAAUGACGGUACCCAAGGAACAAGCCCCGGCUAACUAUGUGCCAGCCGCCGC
Molecule: ribosomal RNA, 480 nt
Filed under: uncultured bacterium
Lineage: Bacteria
Description: bacterial SSU rRNA
Rfam family: Bacterial small subunit ribosomal RNA
Source: RNAcentral